CCUACGGGCGGCAGCAGUGGGGGAUAUUGCACAAUGGGGGAAACCCUGAUGCAGCGACGCCGCGUGUGGGAAGACGGUCCUCUGGAUUGUAAACCACUGUCCCCAGGGACGAAGAUGACGGUACCUGGGGAGGAAGCUCCGGCUAACUACGUGCCAGCAGCUGCGGUAAUACGUAGGGAGCGAGCGUUGUCCGGAAUUACUGGGUGUAAGGGGAGCGUAGGCGGGACUGCAAGUUGGGUGUCAAAUCUACCGGCUCAACCGGUAGCCGCACUCAAAACUGCAGUUCUUGAGUGAAGUAGAGGCAGGCGGAAUUCCUAGUGUAGCGGUGAAAUGCGUAGAUAUUAGGAGGAACACCAGUGGCGAAGGCGGCCUGCUGGGCUUUUACUGACGCUGAGGCUCGAAAGUGUGGGGAGCAAACAGGAUUAGAUACCCCUGUAGUC
RNAcentral lists this ribosomal RNA (440 nucleotides) under uncultured bacterium. RNAcentral describes it as "partial 16S ribosomal RNA". It matches the Rfam family "Bacterial small subunit ribosomal RNA", at positions 338 to 795 of the family's 1533-position model. The record is from RNAcentral.